This 250-nucleotide ribosomal RNA is filed under the name uncultured bacterium. RNAcentral's name for it is "partial 16S ribosomal RNA". It matches the Rfam family "Bacterial small subunit ribosomal RNA", at positions 524 to 773 of the family's 1533-position model. The record is from RNAcentral.
UACGGAGGAUCCGAGCGUUAUCCGGAUUUAUUGGGUUUAAAGGGUGCUCAGGCGGGCGAUUAAGUCGGCGGUGAAAUUUUGCGGCUCAACCGUAAAAGUGCCUUCGAAACUGGUCACCUUGAGUGCGGAUGAGGUAGGCGGAAUUUGUGGUGUAGCGGUGAAAUGCAUAGAUAUCACGAGGAACUCCGAUUGCGCAGGCAGCUUACUAAACCGUAACUGACGCUCAAGCACGAAGGCGUGGGGAUCAAAC